GUGGGGAAUAUUGGACAAUGGGCGAAAGCCUGAUCCAGCAAUGCCGCGUGAGUGAUGAAGGCCUUAGGGUUGUAAAGCUCUUUUACCCGGGAAGAUAAUGACUGUACCGGGAGAAUAAGCCCCGGCUAACUCCGUGCCAGCAGCCGCGGUAAUACGGAGGGGGCUAGCGUUGUUCGGAAUUACUGGGCGUAAAGCGCACGUAGGCGGUUUGGUAAGUUAGAGGUGAAAGCCUGGGGCUCAACCCCAGAAUUGCCUUUAAGACUGCAUCACUUGAACGUCGGAGAGGUGAGUGGAAUUCCGAGUGUAGAGGUGAAAUUCGUAGAUAUUCGGAAGAACACCAGUGGCGAAGGCGGCUCACUGGACGACUGUUGACGCUGAGGUGCGAAAGCGUGGGGAGCAAACAGGAUUAGAAACCCUAGUAGUCC
This 425-nucleotide ribosomal RNA is filed under the name uncultured bacterium. RNAcentral's name for it is "partial 16S ribosomal RNA". It matches the Rfam family "Bacterial small subunit ribosomal RNA", at positions 354 to 796 of the family's 1533-position model. The record is from RNAcentral.